AGAGAGUUCAAGAGAACGUGAAAUCGUUAAAGUGGAACCGGAGAGAGUUGACGAAGCAUCUGUGGUGAAGACUUUCGUGAUUGCUUUUGUGAUUUCGUUUGUUGGAUCUACUUUAGCUGCGUUGGUGGGGUUAUUGGUGUUAGUUGAAGCGUGUAGCGUUGCCCACUUCGGUGGUGUCUUGCUUGCGCGGAAACUGAUCACUGGUAGCUUUUAGCUUUGCUUGCAAAGUGCCAAUGUUCAAGUCGACCACCUUUCCGACCCGUCUUGAAACACGGACCGAGGAGUGUAGCUAGUGCGCGAGUCAAAGGGUGUUAAACCCCACGGCGAAAUGAAAGUAAAGGCCAGUUAACUGGUUUAACAUAGGAGUUGUUCUUUUGAGCAAUGCACUAUGGCCCUGUCUUGAAAGCUUGCUUUCGGGCAGAGGAAGAGCGUACUGGUUGCGACCCGAAAGAUGGUGAACUAUGCUUGAGCAGGACGAAGCCAGAGGAAACUCUGGUGGAAGUCCGUAUCGGUUCUGACGUGCAAAUCGAUCGAUAGACU
This 540-nucleotide ribosomal RNA is filed under the name Phasmarhabditis sp. Si14. Its description in RNAcentral is "partial large subunit ribosomal RNA". It matches the Rfam family "Eukaryotic large subunit ribosomal RNA", at positions 382 to 911 of the family's 3401-position model. The record is from RNAcentral. Lineage: Eukaryota; Metazoa; Nematoda; Chromadorea; Rhabditida; Rhabditidae.